GACGAACGCUGGCGGCGUGCUUAACACAUGCAAGUCGGACGGUUGGCACUGGAAGGUUCGCUGGAAGGUGCUGAUAGUGGCGGACGGGUGAGUAACGCGUGAGGACAUGUCUGCAGGGAGGGGAUAACGUUUGGAAACGGACGCUAAGACCCCGUAAGCCGGGAGGUGAAAGUGGCGAAAGCCAGCCUGUGGAGUGACUCGCGUCCUAUCAGCUAGUUGGCGGGGUGAAGGCCCACCAAGGCGAUGACGGGUAGCCGACCUGAGAGGGUGGCCGGCCACACUGGAACUGAGAUACGGUCCAGACUCCUACGGGAGGCAGCAGGUGGGGAAUAGUUGGGCAAUGGGCGGAAGCCUCGACCCAGCGACGCCGCGUGGGGAAGAAGUCUUUCGGGAUGUAAACCCUUGUUGUACGGGACGAAGGAAGUGACGGUACCGUACGAGGAAGCCCCGGCAAACUACGUG
This 462-nucleotide ribosomal RNA is filed under the name uncultured bacterium. RNAcentral describes it as "bacterial SSU rRNA". It matches the Rfam family "Bacterial small subunit ribosomal RNA", at positions 28 to 507 of the family's 1533-position model. The record is from RNAcentral.